GGUCCACAUGACUGUCAGGCUCAGAGAAAAUGCGGGUUGUUUUUGUGUCAGUCGUUAAUUCUGCAACAGUGACUCUAACUGACGCAGCACUAGUUGACAGACAGCAUUACAGCGUGAAAUCCAGCACAGCGUGACCCGGUUCCGUGAGGAAUUCUGUUCAGGAGGUCGCAUUUCAGGCUCUCCACAUCAUAUGUGACUGACUUUUACGUUAUAAUAACAUCACACACUAGGAAUGUUAUAAAGUGCCUAUAUGGGACAGUUUCUUUUGUAUUUUAUCUGACUUUAUAAACAUCAAUGUGCUUCUAUUUUUUUUUUCAGGCUAAAUCUACCCAAGACACUGGCUAACAGACUGAUUUAGUAAUCUGCAAGAAUGCACUUGUCCAGGCUGACGUGGUGUUACCCGUAGCAAAGGUGAAUUAUUUUUAAUAAUCUUCUAUGUAAACAUUUUAUUACCUUCUAGUUUUAAUUUGUUUUACAGAUUGUUACAAGUGAUUUUAUGCUCUUUUAAACGUUUAUAAAUGUGCUGCUUCUUUGUUUUUUAUACAGCUCACAGCCUCAGUGUCUUGUGACACAGGGACCAUGACAGAAAUUCAUCUUCCAGAAGGUCCCAGAGCAGCAUCCACACCUCCUGAAAAGACCAAGAUGUGAAGUGUCUGCUGUUGAUUCCAGCUUCCAUCUCAGUGACAGUGCAAGCUCAGUGAACUGUUCAAGGAGGCUACUGAUUCAGGCCCUGUGACACUUGGUGGUGACGUGUGAGCUGAUUCACCUGGACACUCAGCAAAAUAUGGACUCUACACCAUGAGGCAGGCACACGUUAAUAACUCUAUAAGAGCACAUAAGCCUGGCUGAUCACCUGAUAACUCCUGUCAUCUGGUUAUGACAGCAUGAGGAUGUCCUCACACACCUGUAACCUACCAGCUCAUCUGGCAGAAUAGAGAGAGAAGAGACAACACCACAUCUCCUGUUCCUGGAAAGCCUUCAGCCAUCCUUCGAUGACUGAGAACCUCCAUCAGCUCUGUCUCCUGUCUGCCUACAAUUAUUAUAAAGCCAUGUGAGGAUGCAC
Nothobranchius furzeri (turquoise killifish) is the source of this 1063-nucleotide non-coding RNA. Lineage: Eukaryota; Metazoa; Chordata; Actinopteri; Cyprinodontiformes; Nothobranchiidae. The record is from RefSeq and is a predicted model, not a curated record.